ACCCACGCCCACGCCGAGCGGUGAAAGGAGAAAGAGAGACAGAGAGAGAGAUACCCCGCAAAUGGAUAUGCGAGCACGUCGACUUCUGACCAAGGCAGAGGGCUAGGGAGAAUCGCCUGCGCGUAUGGGUGCUCGUCGUGGCGUCGUUGAUGGGGAAGACCCUUGGCGUCACCGCGAUUUCUCACCGGAGUUAUGGGCCCCACCGCGGAUCGCACUUCCCUGUGGGCAGAAAACGUCACGGCAUGACCAUCGGUAAGAAGCCCCACUCUAUUCACCAAAUUCUCUGGAACGAGUAGACGUCGUCGAUUUGGAGCUUUGGGCAAUGGAGCGGGUGAUGGCCAUUGCGCCGGUGAGUAGCGCCGCCGUGGAGACUGUGCUCCGGCGUCCCUGCACCAUCAGAGGAUGAAGGAGAGUCUACGUCCGUUGAUUCUGUAAUAGGUCGACAAGAUUAAGGGGUGUUUGGUUUCUAGGGACUAAUGUUUAGUCCCUGGAUUUUAUUCCAUUUUAGUUCCAAAAUUACCAAAUAUAGAAACUAAAACUUUAUUUUAGUUUCUAUAUUUAGCGAUUUAUACACUAAAAAGGAAUAAAAUGAAGGGACUAAACAUUAGUCCCUGGAAACCAAACACCCCCUUAGAAUGAUGCGUACCGAUUCAGCAGAUUGAAUCUGUGCAGUGGAUCGCAGAACGGACGGGGUGGAUUAGAUCGCCCUUCAUAAAAUCUGGGCCGCUGAUCGAGAUCUGACGGCGAGGAUUGCAUACCGUUUCACAAGAAUUCUGAUCUAAUCUAGGCUGCCGGAUCAAGAUCGAACGGCCGUGGUCAGCCCAUACCCCUUCGGGCGUGGAAUAUUGUUAAAGAACCGCUGUCUUUUCAUUUAUUCAACUCGCCGUCCUGGUGCAGUUAUAAAAGAUUUAAUUUAAGUCCCUAGAAUUUGCAGUUUAGCCCUUGAACUUAUAGAUUUUGAACCAGCAGUCCAUCAGUUUAUGGAAUUAUAUAAAUUAAUCUCGAAAAUGGAUUUUCAACAUAAGAAUUAAUCCUAGUUGUUAGAAAAUUUAUAUCUUGCACAUUUUAACUCCGAUUUGAUCCGUUCAAGUUGCGUUAGCUUCGUAAUAAAAUUGCCUACUCAGUAACAAUACUAUAUGUGUCAUAUCCCAAACUUUUAUAAUUAGAUAUUUAUUUAACCUAUGUUUAGUAGAUUAAUCUUUCUAAUCAAAGUUAAUAUGUAUAUAAUUAUAAUCUGACUAAAAUAUGAUUCCUGUCAAGUUAUAACUUAGGUUAAAGUUGAAAUAGUUAUUUCCAUGGAAUAUAUUGUCUCACAUGAUUUAUAUUAAUCAAAGAAACAUAGUUUUCAUAAUUAAUCACACAGAUUUUUCAAAAACUAUAUCUUUUCAGCCGUGACUCUGAUCUUACUAAAUAUCGAACCCACGAUCUCAUAACGAUGCAUAGAUUAUUAUUAUGCAAUUUAUUCUUAUGUUUAGUGUGAUAUUAAUUUUGUCUAUACCAUGUUUAUUUGUAUUGUUACAACUAGCAGCGAGGUUACGAGUCACCUGAAGAGCAAAUUGGUACCUGGAAUCUCAAGUCCCAAGCAACUUGUGCCCUUGAUCACUUUUAUUUACCCAAUAAUGUUCUUUAUAAUCAUUUUAUCAUGCAUAGGCUUAAUUUUGAUGAGACCCAAUAGGUCACCCUAGUCUGAUUAUCUUUAUACCUUGUUUACCCCUGAACUAUUUGGGUAGUUUUGCUAUUGCUCUAUAUAGUUUUGGGAUUAAUAUUACAUUAUCUUCAUGUUCCAAUUAUACUGUUAUUUUAUUUAUGUUCAUGACAAGAUCAUUAUCUUUAAUUGGAACAUGGAGCUUAACUUGAGAAACACGUGCCACCACAAGGGUGGAAUGGGACCCCCUUGGCUGACUAACUAGGAAAGCUAGUGGAGGACUACCUUACCCGAUAGGGGCAAGGGCAGUAGGGGAGUAGGCGUGUAGGGAGGUUCCCGGGUUGAUUUUGCUUCGAUGCCGGUCAGACGGGGGAUUCCUGCAUUGCUCUUCCUAGAAACUGUAGCGGAUUUUCUGAAGCUAGUGUAACUUUGUAAAGGCCUCGUAGUGGAUCCCUAGCCAUUCACCUCGGAAGUGUCUAAGGGUCUUGCAAACCCUGGCGACAUGGGAUACACGACUUGUGGGUACAGGGUAUAACCUCUGUAGAGUGUAAAACUGGUAUACUAGCCAUGCUCGCGGUCAUGAGCAGCUCAAGACUCUCGCAUGAUUAAAUUAUGGAACUAAAUUCAAUUUGUCAUUUGCAUUGCAUGGGAUUUAUUAUUAAUUUUGUUCUAUUAUUAUUAUGGUUUCGUAUUUACUUACAUUUAGUAACUGCUAAUAAUAAUUUGACCAACUUGUUAAAAGCAAUGCUCAGCUUUUACCCUCUACUAUUGAUCAGCCUUACACAUCACAUGAACUCCCACCUUUGCUGAGUUCAUGCACAUUAUUCCCCACAACUUGUUGAGCGAUGAACAUAUGUGAGCUCACCCUUGCUGUUUCACACCCCCAUAGGUCAAGAACAGGUACCAUAGGAUGAGGAGCAUGGAGGAUGCUGUGAUGUGUUCGUGAGAGGUCUAGGCCGUCGUCUCCCAGUCAACUUUGGGUUGCUGGAUCGUUGCCUCCUUACGAUGUAAUUAUUUAUUUAUUUUGUAUAGAACUCCUAUUAUAUAGUAAAGUUGUAACAUUCGUUUCUGUACCAUGAUUCAUCAUAUGUGUGAGACUUGGUCCCAGCACACACCUGGUGAAUAUCUCACACCUAGGUUUUGGAUCCAGGUGUGACAGAAGUGGUAUCAGAGGAAUGUUGACUGUAAGACGAAACCUAGAUAGAACUGGA
This 2856-nucleotide long non-coding RNA is filed under the name Zea mays. RNAcentral's name for it is "long non-coding RNA (ZMAY_LNC005284)". Lineage: Eukaryota; Viridiplantae; Streptophyta; Magnoliopsida; Poales; Poaceae. The record is from RNAcentral.